Sorex araneus (European shrew) is the source of this 426-nucleotide non-coding RNA. Lineage: Eukaryota; Metazoa; Chordata; Mammalia; Eulipotyphla; Soricidae. The record is from the annotation of a RefSeq genome assembly.
AUGGACCUCAUGGGCAGGAACGUGCAUCAGCGCUGGUUCCUCCUCUUUCUGGUGGCAGCUCCCGCAUGUGUCCUGUCCCAGGUACAGCUGCAGGAGUCGGGGCCAAGCCUGGUGACGCCCUCGCAGACGCUGUCCCUCACCUGCUCGGUCUCUGGAUUCUCUCUAACCAGCAAUCAUGUGAACUGGGUCCGCCAGUCCCCUGGAAAGGGACUGGAUUGGAUUGGUCUUAUAGAUAGUGCUGGAAACAUAUACUAUAACCCAAGUCUUCAGUCCCGAGUCAGCAUCUCCAGGGACACCUCCAAGAACCAAGUUUACCUAAAACUGAGCAACUCAGCAACUGAGGACACAGCCGUGUAUUAUUGUGCAAGAGGCACAGUUGUUCUUCCUGUAACUUCUUUUGAUGCCUUUGGUGACAUCACUGUAGUC